UGCGAUGGUUGUCGUCAGCUCGUGUCGUGAGAUGUUGGUUAAGUCCCGCAACGAGCGCAACCCCUAUUGUUAGUUGCCAUCAUUCAGUUAGGCACUCUAGCGAGACUGCCGGUAAUAAACCGGAGGAAGGUGGGGAUGACGUCAAAUCAUCAUGCCCCUUAUGACCUGGGCUACACACGUGCUACAAUGGUUGGUACAACGAGUUGCGAGUCGGUGACGGCGAGCUAAUCUCUUAAAGCCAAUCUCAGUUCGGAUUGUAGGCUGCAACUCGCCUACAUGAAGUCGGAAUCGCUAGUAAUCGCGGAUCAGCACGCCGCGGUGAAUACGUUCCCGGGCCUU
RNAcentral lists this ribosomal RNA (339 nucleotides) under uncultured Streptococcus sp. RNAcentral describes it as "bacterial SSU rRNA". It matches the Rfam family "Bacterial small subunit ribosomal RNA", at positions 1042 to 1382 of the family's 1533-position model. Lineage: Bacteria; Bacillati; Bacillota; Bacilli; Lactobacillales; Streptococcaceae. The record is from RNAcentral.